RNAcentral lists this small RNA (525 nucleotides) under Pongo abelii (Sumatran orangutan). RNAcentral describes it as "processed transcript". The record is from RNAcentral. Lineage: Eukaryota; Metazoa; Chordata; Mammalia; Primates; Hominidae.
CAGAAGACUCUGGACAAGCCACAGUCCCUGCUGUUCGAUAUACCAAUCCAAGCCUCUACCUAGGCACGUGGCUCCUGGUUUUGCUGAUCCAAUACAGCAGACAAUGGUGUGUACAGAAAAACUCCUGGUUCCUGUCCCUAUUCUGGAUUCUCUCAAUACUCUGUGGCACUUUCCAAUUUCAGACGCUGAUCCGGACACUCUUACAGGGUGACAAUUCUAAUCUAGCCUACUCCUGCCUGUUCUUCAUCUCCUAUGGAUUCCAGAUCCUGAUCCUGAUCUUUUCAGCAUUUUCAGAAAAUAAUGAGUCAUCAAAUAAUCCAUCAUCCACAGCUUCGUUUCUGAGUAGCAUUACCUACAGCUGGUAUGACAGGUAGGAAAUCCUGAAGUAUGGAUUGUCUGUAUCCUUACUCUCUCACUCCUCUGAAAGUGUCAGAAAGAUUUUUUAUUUUAUUAUUAUUUUUUUGAGAUGGAGUUUCACUCUUGUUGCCCAGGCUGGAGUGCAAUGGUGCGAUCUUGGCUCACUGC